This 449-nucleotide ribosomal RNA is filed under the name uncultured bacterium. Its description in RNAcentral is "partial 16S ribosomal RNA". It matches the Rfam family "Bacterial small subunit ribosomal RNA", at positions 29 to 523 of the family's 1533-position model. The record is from RNAcentral.
AAUGAACGCUGGCGGCAGGCCUAACACAUGCAAGUCGAACGGGACCUUCGGGUCUAGUGGCGGACGGGUGAGUAACGCGUGGGAACGUGCCCUUUUCUACGGAAUAGCCUCGGGAAACUGGGAGUAAUACCGUAUAAGCUCGAGAGAGGAAAGAUUUAUCGGGAGAGGAUCGGCCCGCGUUGGAUUAGGUAGUUGGUGGGGUAAUGGCCUACCAAGCCGACGAUCCAUAGCUGGUUUGAGAGGAUGAUCAGCCACACUGGGACUGAGACACGGCCCAGACUCCUACGGGAGGGAGCAGUGGGGAAUCUUAGACAAUGGGGGAAACCCUGAUCUAGCCAUGCCGCGUGAUCGAUGAAGGCCUUAGGGUUGUAAAGAUCUUUCAGAUGGGAAGAUAAUGACGGUACCAUCAGAAGAAGCCCCGGCUAACUCCGUGCCAGCCGCCGCGGUAA